GAUGACCGCGGGCGGCGCCCUCACCACUCUAAAGUCGAGAGAGUGUUCGCUCAGUAUUGAGUAUUCUAAGUUUAGUAUGUUCAUUUUGUGAGCAACCCCAAGCGGCGGACGGGUGAGUAACGCGUGGGUAACCUGCCCUAUACACAUGGAUAACAUACUGAAAAGUUUACUAAUACAUGAUAAUAUAUAUUCGUGGCAUCGCAGAUAUAUCAAAGUGUUAGCGGUAUAGGAUGGACCCGCGUCUGAUUAGCUAGUUGGUGAGAUAACUGCCCACCAAGGCGACGAUCAGUAGCCGACCUGAGAGGGUGAUCGGCCACAUUGGAACUGAGACACGGUCCAAACUCCUACGGGAGGCAGCAGUGGGGAAUAUUGCACAAUGGGCGAAAGCCUGAUGCAGCAACGCCGCGUGAACGAUGAAGGUCUUCGGAUCGUAAAGUUCUGUUGCAGGGGAAGAUAAUGACGGUACCCUGUGAGGAAGCCCCGGCUAACUACGUGCCAGCAGCCGCGGUAAUACGUAGGGGGCUAGCGUUAUCCGGAUUUACUGGGCGUAAAGGGUGCGUAGGUGGUCCUUCAAGUCGGUGGUUAAAGGCUACGGCUCAACCGUAGUAAGCCGCCGAAACUGGAGGACUUGAGUGCAGGAGAGGAAAGUGGAAUUCCCAGUGUAGCGGUGAAAUGCGUAGAUAUUGGGAGGAACACCAGUAGCGAAGGCGGCUUUCUGGACUGCAACUGACACUGAGGCACGAAAGCGUGGGUAGCAAACAGG
This 763-nucleotide ribosomal RNA is filed under the name uncultured Peptostreptococcus sp. RNAcentral describes it as "bacterial SSU rRNA". It matches the Rfam family "Bacterial small subunit ribosomal RNA", at positions 28 to 776 of the family's 1533-position model. The record is from RNAcentral. Lineage: Bacteria; Bacillati; Bacillota; Clostridia; Peptostreptococcales; Peptostreptococcaceae.